AGAGAGGUGGCCGAGUGGUCGAAGGCGCACGCCUGGAAAGUGUGUAUACGGCAAAACCGUAUCGAGGGUUCGAAUCCCUUCCUCUCUG
RNAcentral lists this transfer RNA (88 nucleotides) under Zhouia amylolytica. RNAcentral's name for it is "tRNA_Ser_GGA". It matches the Rfam family "tRNA". From Rfam's summary of the family: Transfer RNA (tRNA) molecules are approximately 80 nucleotides in length. Their secondary structure includes four short double-helical elements and three loops (D, anti-codon, and T loops). Further hydrogen bonds mediate the characteristic L-shaped molecular structure. tRNAs have two regions of fundamental functional importance: the anti-codon, which is responsible for specific mRNA codon recognition, and the 3' end, to which the tRNAs corresponding amino acid is attached (by aminoacyl-tRNA synthetases). tRNAs cope with the degeneracy of the genetic code in two manners: having more than one tRNA (with a specific anti-codon) for a particular amino acid; and 'wobble' base-pairing, i.e. permitting non-standard base-pairing at the 3rd anti-codon position. The record is from RNAcentral. Lineage: Bacteria; Pseudomonadati; Bacteroidota; Flavobacteriia; Flavobacteriales; Flavobacteriaceae. RNAcentral also lists the same sequence under 11 other names.